Myxocyprinus asiaticus (Chinese sucker) is the source of this 693-nucleotide long non-coding RNA. RefSeq lists it as uncharacterized. The record is from RefSeq and is a predicted model, not a curated record. NCBI's taxonomy places the organism in Eukaryota, Metazoa, Chordata, Actinopteri, Cypriniformes, Catostomidae. The transcript has 3 exons.
UCCAGUGGAGGGGGAAGGGAGAUAGUUGUGGACAAACAAGUACACAAAAUAAACAAAUCCCUUUGUUCUGGACGGGACAGAAUGCCAUUGUUCUGGAACUCAUCGCGGUGAUGUUAACAAUCGUUUUUACCCUCUGUGACUGUCUCGCCUCGUCUUGGAAGAAACCGAUUACAUACACACUGGACAUGUUUCUCUGAUGAUCUAUGCCAUGCAAACACUCAAAUCUGCUCUUGAUGCUCACUGAUCACUUGAGAAGCCGUUCUGGGCUGGUGUUAAUGAGGAUGUGGGCUGUGUAUCCAUGGACCGUUAAAUCCAAUCUGACAGACAGCUGAGCUUCAGUCAAGCCUGUCGGUCGAGUCCACAAUCCCGCCCUCAAUCUACCCCGUCUUACCCCCCAGAGGUUUGUUUUGUUUCUAAGGACAACUUUACAGCUCAGUGGUGAAACCCUCAUCCCAGACAACAAACAGAAAAUGCCACUUCUACAACAUAUCUUUCGCACUUUGUUUUUCACACUUCCUAUUAAUUUGAUGUAAUAAAACAGGAUAUGAAUAGGGUAAUAAUGUAUGGAAUAUCUGGUCAUAAUUUACCUCACAGUCAAAAGAAAUUAUAAUUUGAAUAAAAAAAUUAAGUCUUUUUUUUUUAUUUUAUUUUUUAGGAUUUUUUUGCAUUUUGACAAACACAUUCCCCUUCCAA